CGUAAACGAUGGGUGCUAGGUAUCCGGGGAAUAGACCCCCUGGGUAUCGAAGCUAACGCGUUAAGCACCCCGCCUGGGGACUACGAGCGCAAGCUUAAAACUCAAAGGAAUUGACGGGGGGCCGCACAAGCGGUGGAGCGUGUGGUUUAAUUCGACGCUAAGCGAAGAACCUUACCAGGGCUUGACAUCCCGGUCGUAUCCCGCGGAAACGCGGGAGUCAGUUUGCUGGACCGGUGACAGGUGCUGCAUGGUCGUCGUCAGCUCGUGUCGUGAGAUGUUGGGUUAAGUCCCGCAACGAGCGCAACCCUCGUCGUAUGUUGUACUUUUCAUACGAGACUGCCUCGGUUAACGAGGAGGAAGGCGGGGAUGACGUCAGAUCAGCAUGGCCCUUAUGCCCUGGGCGACACACGCCGCUACAAUGGCCGGCACAAUGGGACGCCGAACCGCAAGGUUGGAGCAAAUCCCAUCAAAGCCGGUCCCAGUUCGGAUUGGANGCUUGCAACUCCCCUCCAUGAAUUCCGAAUCCCUAGUAAUCGCCAGUUCACCAUACUUGCGGUUGAAUACUUCCUCNGCCUUGUACACACCGCCCCUCNAUUCNAGAAAUUCCGGAAUGCCCUGAACCCUGCCUG
RNAcentral lists this ribosomal RNA (629 nucleotides) under uncultured soil bacterium. Its description in RNAcentral is "bacterial SSU rRNA". It matches the Rfam family "Bacterial small subunit ribosomal RNA", at positions 801 to 1435 of the family's 1533-position model. The record is from RNAcentral.